GCUUAACAGCUUUACAACCCUAAGGCCUUCUUCACUCACGCGGAAUGGCUGGAUCAGGGUUUCCCCCAUUGUCCAAGAUUCCCCACUGCUGCCUCCCGUAGG
RNAcentral lists this ribosomal RNA (102 nucleotides) under uncultured bacterium. RNAcentral's name for it is "partial 16S ribosomal RNA". The record is from RNAcentral.